RNAcentral lists this ribosomal RNA (451 nucleotides) under cyanobacterium K10. Its description in RNAcentral is "partial 16S ribosomal RNA". The stretch from base 257 to 421 matches the Rfam family "Bacterial small subunit ribosomal RNA", at positions 576 to 745 of the family's 1533-position model. The record is from RNAcentral. Lineage: Bacteria; Bacillati; Cyanobacteriota.
AUCUGGCGAGCCAAAGUGANCUGUNCUGUGUGAGUCGUGAGUGAAUAGGCUCCUGUGGGGGUUUGUUAAACCNGUUCGUGUUUUCGUCNAAAGGUAAGGNAAUUNUGAUUGACCGGUUACCUUUGGAAGGAAUUCAAGCCAAUUCCGGGCUUAAACCUCCCGNUGGUGCCAAGCCAGCCCGCGGGNUUAAUUACCGGAGGAUGCAAAGCGGUGAUUCCGGAAAUGAUUGGGGCGUUAAAGCGUUCCCGUUAGGUGCCUGUUGUGUGUCUAUUGUUAAAGAGUUUGGGCUCAACCAAAUAAGGUGUCGGUAGAAACUACACAGCUAGAGUGCGUUCGGGCAGAGGGAUUCCUGGUGUAGCGGUGAAAUGCGUAGAGAUCAGGAGAGACACCGGUGAAGAAGCGGGGCUGCUAGCCGUCGACGAUAANCAGCCGAGGGUAUCAUGGUACUCCC